RNAcentral lists this ribosomal RNA (1372 nucleotides) under uncultured bacterium. RNAcentral describes it as "bacterial SSU rRNA". It matches the Rfam family "Bacterial small subunit ribosomal RNA", at positions 28 to 1381 of the family's 1533-position model. The record is from RNAcentral.
GAUGAACGCUGGCGGCGUGCCUAAUACAUGCAAGUCGAGCGAACGGACGAGAAGCUUGCUUCUCUGAUGUUAGCGGCGGACGGGUGAGUAACACGUGGAUAACCUACCUAUAAGACUGGGAUAACUUCGGGAAACCGGAGCUAAUACCGGAUAAUAUUUUGAACCGCAUGGUUCAAAAGUGAAAGACGGUCUUGCUGUCACUUAUAGAUGGAUCCGCGCUGCAUUAGCUAGUUGGUAAGGUAACGGCUUACCAAGGCAACGAUGCAUAGCCGACCUGAGAGGGUGAUCGGCCACACUGGAACUGAGACACGGUCCAGACUCCUACGGGAGGCAGCAGUAGGGAAUCUUCCGCAAUGGGCGAAAGCCUGACGGAGCAACGCCGCGUGAGUGAUGAAGGUCUUCGGAUCGUAAAACUCUGUUAUUAGGGAAGAACAUAUGUGUAAGUAACUGUGCACAUCUUGACGGUACCUAACCAGAAAGCCACGGCUAACUACGUGCCAGCAGCCGCGGUAAUACGUAGGUGGCAAGCGUUAUCCGGAAUUAUUGGGCGUAAAGCGCGCGUAGGCGGUUUUUUAAGUCUGAUGUGAAAGCCCACGGCUCAACCGUGGAGGGUCAUUGGAAACUGGAAAACUUGAGUGCAGAAGAGGAAAGUGGAAUUCCAUGUGUAGCGGUGAAAUGCGCAGAGAUAUGGAGGAACACCAGUGGCGAAGGCGACUUUCUGGUCUGUAACUGACGCUGAUGUGCGAAAGCGUGGGGAUCGAACAGGAUUAGAUACCCUGGUAGUCCACGCCGUAAACGAUGAGUGCUAAGUGUUAGGGGGUUUCCGCCCCUUAGUGCUGCAGCUAACGCAUUAAGCACUCCGCCUGGGGAGUACGACCGCAAGGUUGAAACUCAAAGGAAUUGACGGGGACCCGCACAAGCGGUGGAGCAUGUGGUUUAAUUCGAAGCAACGCGAAGAACCUUACCAAAUCUUGACAUCCUUUGACAACUCUAGAGAUAGAGCCUUCCCCUUCGGGGGACAAAGUGACAGGUGGUGCAUGGUUGUCGUCAGCUCGUGUCGUGAGAUGUUGGGUUAAGUCCCGCAACGAGCGCAACCCUUAAGCUUAGUUGCCAUCAUUAAGUUGGGCACUCUAAGUUGACUGCCGGUGACAAACCGGAGGAAGGUGGGGAUGACGUCAAAUCAUCAUGCCCCUUAUGAUUUGGGCUACACACGUGCUACAAUGGACAAUACAAAGGGCAGCGAAACCGCGAGGUCAAGCAAAUCCCAUAAAGUUGUUCUCAGUUCGGAUUGUAGUCUGCAACUCGACUACAUGAAGCUGGAAUCGCUAGUAAUCGUAGAUCAGCAUGCUACGGUGAAUACGUUCCCGGGUCU